AUACGGAGGGCGCAAGCGUUGCCCGGAAUCACUGGGUGUAAAGGGUGCGUAGGCGGGGCUGUACGUCAGAGGUGAAAGCCCUCGGCUCAACCGGGGAAUUGCCUCUGAUACUGCAGCUCUUGAGUCCCGGAGAGGCCGCUGGAAUUCCUGGUGUAGCGGUGAAAUGCGUAGAUAUCAGGAGGAACACCGGAGGCGAAGGCGGGCGGCUGGACGGGGACUGACGCUGAGGCACGAAAGCGAGGGGAGCGAACAGGAUUAGAAACCCCAGUAGUCC
This 274-nucleotide ribosomal RNA is filed under the name uncultured bacterium. Its description in RNAcentral is "partial 16S ribosomal RNA". It matches the Rfam family "Bacterial small subunit ribosomal RNA", at positions 523 to 796 of the family's 1533-position model. The record is from RNAcentral.